RNAcentral lists this unclassified non-coding RNA (561 nucleotides) under uncultured Bartonella sp. Its description in RNAcentral is "partial 16S-23S ribosomal RNA intergenic spacer". The stretch from base 78 to 151 matches the Rfam family "tRNA". Lineage: Bacteria; Pseudomonadati; Pseudomonadota; Alphaproteobacteria; Hyphomicrobiales; Bartonellaceae. The record is from RNAcentral.
CAAGCCUCUGAGAGGGAUGAAGAUAUUGUUUUCUUUGAUCAGAUUAUGCCGGUAAAGGUUUUCUGGUUUACCCUAUAGGGCUUGUAGCUCAGUUGGUUAGAGCGCGCGCUUGAUAAGCGUGAGGUCGGAGGUUCAAGUCCUCCCAGGCCCACCAGUUACACGAUGCUAAAAGUUGCUAUAUUGGGAGAGUUGAUAAUCCCUUACAGGAAAUUAUUGCCCUUAAUAAAACUUUAUUUUCUAAAAGCAUUCAGAGCUGACAUAGAAUAGAGCUGACAUAGAAUUGAGAAUCUGACAUAGGAAUUAUUGAAAUUGUUUUGGAAUUAUUGAAAUUGUUUUCUAUCAUUUUAAAAGGCUAAAAUAUUCUGUCUCUAUUUUUAAAAUAGCAUCAGGUGUUUUGUAAGAGUGUGAAGAUUUUAAGAGUGGGGUUUUUUAUAUUUUAGUGUGAGGUUUUUAUAAGGGUAUGACGUGAGAGCGUUUUGACCUGUUUUAGGGGCCGUAGCUCAGCUGGGAGAGCACCUGCUUUGCAAGCAGGGGGUCGUCGGUUCGAUCCCGUCCGGCUCC